Molecule: long non-coding RNA, 213 nt
Filed under: Elaeis guineensis (African oil palm)
Lineage: Eukaryota; Viridiplantae; Streptophyta; Magnoliopsida; Arecales; Arecaceae
Description: long non-coding RNA (EGUI_LNC080516)
Source: RNAcentral
GUGGCUCCUUCAUUUUUCUUUCCUCGUGAUCCAUAGCUCCUCCACAUCCUCCAUCUUAAAUUGUCUGAUGAUGUACCAAAUGCAAUCCUAAUUUUAUUUUCAAAUGUGUGCAAACCAAGCUGUCUGUCGUAGCAACCUGUGCAGGAUACAAGUCUGAUUGUAUGCGAAUAUUGAAAUAUAGCAUGUUAACUAUGUUAGGGUUAAAAAAAGCCA